UGCAGUAGAUCUCCCUGGAUCUGCACCAUUGCUGCAGCAGUCACCUCUUCGGUUUGGCACCGACUCAAUGCAUCGGCCACCUGGUUUUGCCUACCAGGCCGAUGCUCCCAAGCAAAGUCAUACUCCGCCAGCAUCUCUUGCCAGCGCGCCUGCCUGGCAGAAAGUUUGCACUGCAUCUGGAAGAAAGUGUUGGCGACAUUGUCGGUCU
Molecule: long non-coding RNA, 208 nt
Filed under: Elaeis guineensis (African oil palm)
Lineage: Eukaryota; Viridiplantae; Streptophyta; Magnoliopsida; Arecales; Arecaceae
Description: long non-coding RNA (EGUI_LNC060876)
Source: RNAcentral